UACGUAGGUGGCAAGCGUUAUCUGGAUUUACUGGGUGUAAAGGGCGUGUAGGCGGUUUUGUAAGUCAGAUGUGAAAUCUCCGGGCUUAACUCGGAAACUGCAUCUGAAACUAUAAAACUUGAGUACUGGAGUGGAUAGUGGAAUUCCUAGUGUAGCGGUAAAAUGCGUAGAUAUUAGGAGGAACACCAGUGGCGAAGGCGACUAUCUGGACAGUAACUGACGCUGAGGCGCGAAAGCGUGGGGAGCAAACAGGAUUAGAUACCCGGGUAGUCCCU
This 275-nucleotide ribosomal RNA is filed under the name uncultured prokaryote. Its description in RNAcentral is "partial 16S ribosomal RNA". It matches the Rfam family "Bacterial small subunit ribosomal RNA", at positions 524 to 798 of the family's 1533-position model. The record is from RNAcentral.